AGCCCCUUUUACAGGUUCUGUAUCUUUCUAUUUUUCAUUUUUAUUUUUUUUCCCUUUUAAUUUACUAAUAAUUAUUUAUUUUCCAUAGACAAGAUUUUCAUAGCUUUAGCCAGGGUGAAUCAUAGUUUCAGCGAGUGAAUUUCCUAGAAGAAAUACAUAAAGAAAGAAAAUCAACUUUUUUUUAUCAAUUUCAUUUUGAAAAUAGACUUCGUGUGCAUUUCAUUUGUGAAAUGGAUUUUCCAUCGGUGUUUUGUUGAAAAAGGCGAAAGAAAAAGGGAUUUCUGUGAAGGUUUGAUCUGUUAGGGUUUGGUUUUUUUGGGGCGUUGUUGAUUUGAUUGUUGAUUAUUGAGAGGGACAUGGAUAAGAAGAAGUUGGCAGUGCCUUUAGUUUGCCACGGGCAUUCGCGUCCUGUUGUGGAUUUGUUCUACAGUCCUGUUACUCCUGAUGGCUUUUUUCUCAUAAGUGCCAGCAAAGAUUCUAGCCCAAUGUUGAGAAAUGGAGAGACCGGAGAUUGGAUUGGGACCUUUGAAGGACAUAAAGGUGCAGUGUGGAGUUGUUGCCUUGAUACUAAUGCAUUGCGAGCAGCAUCUGCAUCUGCAGAUUUUACAGCGAAAUUGUGGGAUGCUUUGACUGGGGAUGAAUUACACUCUUUUGAGCAUAAGCACAUUGUUAGGGCUUGUGCCUUUUCAGAGGAUACACAUCUUCUACUUACUGGCGGAGUGGAGAAAAUUCUUCGUAUAUUUGACUUGAAUCGUCAGGAUGCACCCCCAAGAGAAGUUGACAGUUCACCUGGUUCUAUUAGAACUGUUGCAUGGCUUCACAGCGACCAGACCAUAUUAAGUUCUUGUACUGACAUGGGUGGUGUGAGGUUAUGGGACAUACGAAGUGGAAAAAUUGUUCAAACUCUUGACACGAAGUCACCUGUAACUAGCGCUGAAGUUAGUCAGGAUGGUCGAUAUAUAACUACUGCUGAUGGGUCUACAGUUAAAUUUUGGGAUGCAAAUCACUUUGGGCUGGUGAAGAGCUACAAUAUGCCAUGCAAUGUGGAAUCAGCUUCAUUGGAACCAAAACUUGGUAAUAAAUUUGUCGCAGGUGGAGAAGAUAUGUGGAUCCAUGUAUUUGAUUUCAAUACAGGAGAACAGAUUGGUAUGUAUUUCCGAAUCGUUGGAUCUUCAGAUUGGUUAUAUAGUUAAGAACCAAGUAAAAAACUAGGUGAUCAGCAAUUCAGCAUUUUUGCUUUGUGCUGAAUGGGCUUUUUGCUUCUUUGUAACCACUGCACAGUUUUUGGCAAGAUAUCUUGCUGCUUUAAGUAAAUACUCCAUUAAGGUCCAAGAUUUGAUGUAGAUUUACCAUCAAAGCAUCUAUUCCUCACUAGCUGCUUGUUGUCAUUCUAGUUUUUAACUUCUAGGCUAUGGCAAGAUGUCCUUGCCAAAAAAAAAAAAAGGAAAGGAAAAGUGAAAAAGAAAAGUCGAUCAUCUAAGCUGAAUGGCAGAUGUAGCUGUGUUUAUUGGUUUGAUCAGUGAUCCUUUUGCCAACCUAUCUGUUAGUUCACCCCAUUUCCAUCUCAUUCAUCUCACCUUUGAAAAAAUGGAUUUUUUUUUGCCACCAUAAGCAGAUGAGCUGCACUUAAAUGCGUCAUCCGGAGGAAUUUCAGAUCUGUUGUGUAGUUAAAAUUUGCUGAUCUUUGUGGGUUUAUGGUUUUAAUCAGCUUCUUGCACAUGCUUUUCUUGUGCAGGGUGCAACAAGGGUCACCAUGGUCCUGUUCAUUGUGUGCGGUUCUCCCCUGGAGGUGAAUCUUAUGCUUCAGGGUCUGAAGAUGGAACUAUCAGAAUCUGGCAAACAGGGCCCGCAAAUCUCGAGGAGAAUGAUUCACUCUCCAGAAAUGGGCCAACUGGAAAAGUGAAGGCAUUAGCUGAUGAUGUAGCCCAUAAGAUCGAAAGCUUUCAUAUAAGCAAAGAAGGGAAAGCUUCUGAGAAGGACAAGGCAACAGAUGCCUGACUAGGGCUUUAAAGUUUAGAUUGUCUAUGGGAUUCAACCUGUUUGUUUUGGUAUUUGCUCGAGUGUUAAGUUGUUGGCAUGUUCAUGUGACUUAUUGAGGGUUGUUCUUCUGUGAAAAUAAAUUGACUUAUAAAGCAAAUCAAGAUCAGACCUAAGAAUCUAUGUUUUUCAUAUUUUACAAGAACUUUUAGUUUUAUUAAAAUAUAGAUAGAAAUAGACUUAUUUUUUAAUUAAUA
RNAcentral lists this unclassified non-coding RNA (2234 nucleotides) under Hevea brasiliensis (rubber tree). Lineage: Eukaryota; Viridiplantae; Streptophyta; Magnoliopsida; Malpighiales; Euphorbiaceae. The record is from RNAcentral.